UGGGCCAAGGCUCUUGACCAUGACCUGUGCUUACUCUAUUUCUGAACCUUGUAUCUAGGGACAGAAGUCCAAGUCCAGCAGCUUCAGCUCUUGUGCCUGCUCUCUGGCCAUGGGGGCCCAGUAUCAGGAAGGGUCAGCCCCCCCAGACCCACCUGCUAUGGAGAAGAGCCGGCUCAGGAUAGGAAGACGGUUGCUCUGGCUAAAAGAGAAAGGAGCCCAGAGCCAACUGCCCAGAAGGAUGGGGUCCAACUAGAACGGACAGCCUCUGGAGGGCACAGGAGAGCAAGAGCAGCCAAGACCAAGAGCAGGAGCAACCCCUAGGGCUGGCCUCAAACCCAGUCCUGAGGAGAAUGUCCAAGUGUAUGGCCUUACAGGGUCUGAGGAGGCGGGAGGAACAGGACUGAGCUUGGUGGCCCACAAAGGUCACCUUCUCGCUGACCAACCUUUGAUGGCCAUCUCCACUUCCCUGUGUCAUCUCUGGACUCCUCGCUUGAGCUUCUGGAUCUCUUC
Molecule: long non-coding RNA, 510 nt
Organism: Suricata suricatta (meerkat)
Lineage: Eukaryota; Metazoa; Chordata; Mammalia; Carnivora; Herpestidae
Exons: 4
Source: RefSeq, a predicted model, not a curated record